CACGUAGGGGGCGAGCGUUGUCCGGAUUUACUGGGCGUAAAGGGUGCGUAGGCGGCCGCGCGCGUGGCGGGGGAAAUCUCUCGGCUUACCCGGGAGGGUGCUUGCCAGACGGCGUGGCUUGAGGGACGGAGAGGGGCGUGGAAUUCCGGGUGGAGCGGUGAAAUGCGUAGAUAUCGGAAGGAACGCCGGUGGCGAAAGCGAGCUGCUGGAUCCCUCCUGACGCUGAGGCGCGAAAGCCAGGGGAGCGAACGGG
Molecule: ribosomal RNA, 253 nt
Filed under: uncultured bacterium
Lineage: Bacteria
Description: partial 16S ribosomal RNA
Rfam family: Bacterial small subunit ribosomal RNA
Source: RNAcentral